ACCAAGGAGAGAGGAAACUGUAG
RNAcentral lists this non-coding RNA (23 nucleotides) under Cricetulus griseus (Chinese hamster). The record is from RNAcentral. Lineage: Eukaryota; Metazoa; Chordata; Mammalia; Rodentia; Cricetidae.